UACGGGAGGCAGCAGUGGGGAAUAUUGCACAAUGGGCGAAAGCCUGAUGCAGCUAUGCCGCGUGUAUGAAGAAGGCCUUAGGGUUGUAAAGUACUUUCAUCGGGGAGGAAAAAACAAAACUAAUAAUUUUAUUUCUUGACGUUACCCGAAAAAGAAGCACCGGCUAACUCCGUGCCAGCAGCCGCGGUAAUACGGAGGGUGCUAGCGUUAAUCAGAAUUACUGGGCGUAAAGAGCACGUAGGUGGUUUUUUUAAGUCAGAUGUGAAAUCCCUGGGCUUAACCUGGAACUGCAUUUUGAAACUGAAAUACUAGAGUAUCGUAGAGGGAGGUAGAAUUCUAGGUGUAGCGGUGAAAUGCGUAGAUAUCUGGAGGAAUACCCGUGGCGAAAGCGGCCUCCUAAACGAAUACUGACACUGAGGUGCGAAAGCGUGGGGAGCAAACAGGGAUUAGAUACC
RNAcentral lists this ribosomal RNA (455 nucleotides) under uncultured bacterium. Its description in RNAcentral is "bacterial SSU rRNA". It matches the Rfam family "Bacterial small subunit ribosomal RNA", at positions 340 to 786 of the family's 1533-position model. The record is from RNAcentral.